UGGCUCAGAUGGUAAAGCGUCUGCCUACAAUGCGGGAGACCCGGGUUCAACCCCUGGG
This 58-nucleotide transfer RNA is filed under the name Klebsiella pneumoniae. RNAcentral's name for it is "tRNA-Cys". The record is from RNAcentral. Lineage: Bacteria; Pseudomonadati; Pseudomonadota; Gammaproteobacteria; Enterobacterales; Enterobacteriaceae.